AGAAGAAAGAAAUGAAUGAAUAAAGGAAUAAGAAGGAAUAAGCAAGAAGGAAUCAUGAACGCACGAAAGAAAGUUUUCAUUCCAUAUUGUUCUGUGCUAAGCCAAUAACCCAUCUAUCAAAGUCCACGAAGGGCGCAAAUCUUAAAGGAAUUAUUUUUCACAUAUACCUCAAAGUGAGACGCCUUUACCAAGUAUGAUAAAUCAUGUUGACAGCCAGUUCCAAAUUAGGGAACCAAGUUUGUACGAGACCGUUCGGAAACCUUGGACAAACUGUCACUGCGAUCUGCAAUGCAGCCCCAAACAAUCAAGCCAUCUUGGCAGAAGAACUUCAAACUCGCGAGAGGAUAACCAAGUAAUUGCGUUUGGUUUUCAAAUGCAUUUUUUUAUCAUUUCGAAUGGUCAUAUUCUUUCCAAACGUACAAUAAAAUUUUAUCGAACCCUGAAACACACUAUGUACUUAUCAGAGGCAAGGGACGGCUAACUUGGAUAAUUCAUACCAUUUCUAAAAUAUUGGUGCCUUUUCAUAAUUUCCUUCCUAUUUUCCUAUUAGUAAAUGGAAUUCAAUUCAAUUUCCUACUUGUAAAUGUUUAUUUUGUUUUUAUUUUUUUAAAGUAUAAUUAGCCUGUUUUAGGCUGACAUGACUUUUUGUGCAAAGACAACCAAUUUAUUCGCAUUUCUAUCGAAAAUAUCUCCUAAGAUUGAGAACGUUUAAGAAAGAACUGAAAACCGACCUUUUUAUAAUAGCCUUUAGUUUGUAAAUUAGUGUAAUGCUUGUAUAUAUGAUCAUUUUUAUUUUUAUUUUUUCCAAAGCGCUUAGAACAGAUUUGAAUAAGCGUUAUAUAAGUGUCUAUUAUUAUUAUUAUUAUUAUUAGUCUUUUUUUGCGUAGUAAUGAAAACCGGAGCAACCCCCUCGUGGCGAGGGAGUGCAUCAACAACAAAAUCAACUCGCAUGACACCAGGAAUCGACCCCGUCGCAUUGGUAAGAGGCAAGAGUUUUCGCAGUUCUUUCCGCUA
This is a long non-coding RNA of Actinia tenebrosa (Australian red waratah sea anemone), 1014 nucleotides long. Lineage: Eukaryota; Metazoa; Cnidaria; Anthozoa; Actiniaria; Actiniidae. The record is from RefSeq and is a predicted model, not a curated record.